UUCCGUAGGGGUACCUGCGGAGGGAUCAUUACACAAAGACAUAUGAAGGCUGUCCGCAGCUGGAGUAUUUUAUUACCCUUGUCUUUUGCGCACUUGUUGUUUCCUGGGCGGGUUCGCUCGCCACCAGGACCACCAAAUAAACCUUUUUUAUGCAGUUGCAAUCAGCGUCAGUACAAACAAUGUAAAUCAUUUACAACUUUCAACAACGGAUCUCUUGGUUCUGGCAUCGAUGAAGAACGCAGCGAAAUGCGAUACGUAGUGUGAAUUGCAGAAUUCAGUGAAUCAUCGAAUCUUUGAACGCACAUUGCGCCCUUUGGUAUUCCAAAGGGCAUGCCUGUUCGAGCGUCAUUUGUACCCUCAAGCUUUGCUUGGUGUUGGGCGUUUUUGUCUUUGGUCGCCCAAAGACUCGCCUUAAAGUGAUUGGCAGCCGGCCUUUCUGGUUUCGCAGCGCAGCACAUUUUUGCGCUUGCCAUCAGCAAAACGGCAAUCCAUCAAGCCUCCUUCUCACGUUUGACCUCGGAUCAGGUAGGGAUACCCGCUGAACUUAAGCAUAUCAAAGUCCGGAGGAAA
Molecule: ribosomal RNA, 570 nt
Filed under: Curvularia geniculata
Lineage: Eukaryota; Fungi; Ascomycota; Dothideomycetes; Pleosporales; Pleosporaceae
Description: eukaryotic LSU rRNA
Rfam family: 5.8S ribosomal RNA (bases 195-348)
Source: RNAcentral